Molecule: ribosomal RNA, 920 nt
Filed under: uncultured bacterium
Lineage: Bacteria
Description: bacterial SSU rRNA
Rfam family: Bacterial small subunit ribosomal RNA
Source: RNAcentral
GAGUUUGAUCCUGGCUCAGGAUGAACGCUAGCGACAGGCUUAACACAUGCAAGUCGAGGGGCAGCGGGGGCGAAGCUUGCUUCGCCUGCCGGCGACCGGCGCACGGGUGAGUAACACGUAUGCAACCUGCCUGCCACAGCCGGAUAAUCGGGAGAAAUCCCGUCUAAUACGGCAUAAUGCAUCGACGGGACAUCCUGUUGGUGCCAAAGGUUAAUUCCGGUGGCGGAUGGGCAUGCGUCGCAUUAGUUAGUUGGCGGUGUAACGGACCACCAAGACGACGAUGCGUAGGGGUUCUGAGAGGAAGGUCCCCCACACUGGUACUGAGACACGGACCAGACUCCUACGGGAGGCAGCAGUGAGGAAUAUUGGUCAAUGGGCGGGAGCCUGAACCAGCCAAGUCGCGUGAGGGAUGACGGCCCUAUGGGUUGUAAACCUCUUUUGCCGGGGAGCAAAGUGCCGCACGUGUGCGGUUUGGAGAGUACCCGGAGAAAAAGCAUCGGCUAACUCCGUGCCAGCAGCCGCGGUAAUACGGAGGAUGCGAGCGUUAUCCGGAUUUAUUGGGUUUAAAGGGUGCGUAGGCGGACGCUUAAGUCAGCGGUAAAAUUGCGGGGCUCAACCUCGUCGAGCCGUUGAAACUGGGUGCCUUGAGUGGGCGAGAAGUACGCGGAAUGCGUGGUGUAGCGGUGAAAUGCAUAGAUAUCACGCAGAACUCCGAUUGCGAAGGCAGCGUACCGGCGCCCAACUGACGCUGAAGCACGAAGGCGUGGGUAUCGAACAGGAUUAGAUACCCUGGUAGUCCACGCAGUAAACGAUGAAUGCUAGUUGUCCGGGGCGAUUGAGUUCUGGGUGACACAGCGAAAGCGUUAAGCAUUCCACCUGGGGAGUACGCCGGCAACGGUGAAACUCAAAGGAAUUGACGG